Molecule: ribosomal RNA, 474 nt
Filed under: uncultured organism
Description: partial 16S ribosomal RNA
Rfam family: Bacterial small subunit ribosomal RNA
Source: RNAcentral
UACACUCCUGCGGGAGGCAGCAGUAGGGAAUCUUCGGCAAUGGGGGCAACCCUGACCGAGCAACGCCGCGUGAGUGAAGAAGGUUUUCGGAUCGUAAAGCUCUGUUGUAAGUCAAGAACGAGUGUGAGAGUGGAAAGUUCACACUGUGACGGUAGCUUACCAGAAAGGGACGGCUAACUACGUGCCAGCAGCCGCGGUAAUACGUAGGUCCCGAGCGUUGUCCGGAUUUAUUGGGCGUAAAGCGAGCGCAGGCGGUUUGAUAAGUCUGAAGUUAAAGGCUGUGGCUCAACCAUAGUUCGCUUUGGAAACUGUCAAACUUGAGUGCAGAAGGGGAGAGUGGAAUUCCAUGUGUAGCGGUGAAAUGCGUAGAUAUAUGGAGGAACACCGGUGGCGAAAGCGGCUCUCUGGUCUGUAACUGACGCUGAGGCUCGAAAGCGUGGGGAGCGAACAGGAUUAGAAACCCUGGUAGUCCCA